Molecule: ribosomal RNA, 678 nt
Filed under: uncultured fungus
Lineage: Eukaryota; Fungi
Description: eukaryotic LSU rRNA
Rfam family: Eukaryotic large subunit ribosomal RNA
Source: RNAcentral
CCCGCUGAACUUAAGCAUAUCAAUAAGCGGAGGAAAAGAAACUAACCAGGAUUCCCCUAGUAACGGCGAGUGAAGCGGGAAGAGCUCAAAUUUGUAAUCUGGCGGUCUUCAGGCCGUCCGAGUUGUAGUCUGGAGAAGCGUUUUCCGCGCCGGUGCCGUGUACAAGUCUCUUGGAACAGGGCGUCAUAGAGGGUGAGAAUCCCGUCUUUGACACGGACAACCGGGGCUAUGCGAUGCGCUCUCGAAGAGUCGAGUUGUUUGAGAAUGCAGCUCAAAUCGGGUGGUAAAUUCCAUCUAUAGCUAAAUAUGCUCGAAAGACCGAUUGAGUUCAAUUACCAUGAGGAAAAGAUGAGGAGCCCUAUGGAGAAAGAGUUGAGCGAUCCAUGGAAUAAAUGCAACUGGAAACAUACAGAGUAAAUCGACUCGUAAUAGUUUAAAGGUAGCGUCUGGGGGCCAGACUUUUCUUGGGUUUAUCAGCACGAUCUUCCUUAUCGGUGCUCUCUCAUGAGAUCAGGCAAGGAUCCGUUCGGGCGGUGGUAGAAAAUCCGCGGUAAUGUGACUUCCUUCGCAGAGUGUUAUAAUCCUAGCUCUCACGCAGCUCUGCCUCGACUGAUGACCGCGCCUUUCGUGGCUAGGACGCUGGCAUAAUGGUCGUAAGCGACCCGUCUUGAAACACGG